CCUACGGGGGGCUGCAGUGGGGAAUAUUGGACAAUGGGCGAAAGCCUGAUCCAGCCAUGCCGCGUGUGUGAAGAAGGCCUUCGGGUUGUAAAGCACUUUCAGUGGGGAAGAAAGCCUUGGGGCUAAUACCCUCGAGGAAGGACAUCACCCACAGAAGAAGCACCGGCUAACUCCGUGCCAGCAGCCGCGGUAAUACGGAGGGUGCGAGCGUUAAUCGGAAUUACUGGGCGUAAAGCGCUCGUCGGCGGUCUGAUAAGCCGGUUGUGAAAGCCCCGGGCUCAACCUGGGAACGGCAUCCGGAACUGUCAGGCUAGAGUGCAGGAGAGGAAGGUAGAAUUCCCGGUGUAGCGGUGAAAUGCGUAGAGAUCGGGAGGAAUACCAGUGGCGAAGGCGGCCUUCUGGACUGACACUGACGCUGAGGUGCGAAAGCGUGGGUAGCAAACAGGAUUAGAUACCCCUGUAGUC
RNAcentral lists this ribosomal RNA (465 nucleotides) under Vreelandella stevensii. RNAcentral's name for it is "partial 16S ribosomal RNA". It matches the Rfam family "Bacterial small subunit ribosomal RNA", at positions 338 to 795 of the family's 1533-position model. Lineage: Bacteria; Pseudomonadati; Pseudomonadota; Gammaproteobacteria; Oceanospirillales; Halomonadaceae. The record is from RNAcentral.